GCUACUGUAAUGACAGCUCAAAGCUGUCCACGUCAACACUGUGCUACCACCAUGGACUCCGCGGCUCUGGAACCCACGCUCUACACUGUGAAGGCCAUCUUCAUUUUAGACAAUGAUGGAAACAGACUGCUUUCAAAGUACUAUGAUCCAGAUCUCUACCCCUCCAUGAAAGAGCAGAAGAAUUUUGAAAAGAACGUCUUCAACAAAACACAUAAAGCUGACAAUGAAAUUGCUUUCUUAGAGGGAAUGACGAUAGUCUACAAGAGCAGCAUAGACUUGUUCUUUUAUGUGGUUGGCAGCGCUCAGGAGAAUGAGCUCAUGCUGAUGGCUGUGUUGAACUGCUUGUUUGAGUCUCUCAGUCAGAUGUUGAGGAAGAAUGUGGAGAAAAGGACUCUGCUGGAUAAUAUGGAUGGAGUGUUCCUCGUGGUGGAUGAAAUCAUCGAUGGAGGGGUGAUCCUGGAAAGUGACCCCCAACAGGUGAUUGAAAAGGUCAAUUACAGGUGUGUGUCGGAGCAAGCGUAUGGCUUCGUCCUUUUUGAUUACAUCACUGGUAACAUGGAGGGCCAAGGAGAGAGACGGCAACUACUGUAGCUCUCCUUCAGCCCCCCCCUCCCUCUCUCCCUCCGGGAGAGAGAGGGACGAGGGCAGAUGACAACCCAUUAUCAGAACAGAGUGUGGCACAGGUGUUACAGUCAGCAAAGGAGCAGAUCAAGUGGUCAAUUCUGAAAUAACACUUUCCAUGACCUGAAGGAAUCUGUAAAUUAUUGCAAGGGAUUUUUUUUUUAUUUCUAAUGAGUUGUAAUUUAAUUAAUUAUUGAAGUAGUGCACAUGGGCAGUUGCAUCUCAUGUUUAGUGCUGAAAUAUUUAUAUUUUUUGUUAAAGAGUAACAGGUCAUUUGUGUUUUUUAAACGAUAUGAAGAAGCAUAUUUGCUUACUGGGUUCUGAACCAAAAAUCAACCAGUACACAAAUACAUGUCUAUUUCCAAAGCAGCUUCAAAGCAAUUACAAUUAUUUGUAACCCUAGCAAAUAUUGAUAUAGUACUAUGUUUAGAGAAGGUACAGUCAUGUUUUCUUUUAGCAUGACCUAUUAUUUAAUUGGUCAAAACUUGAUUGUCUAAACCUGUUGUAGUCUUUUAUCAGUUUUUGUAUUUUUGUUUUGCUUUACAAACUUUUGUCAAAAAAAAAAAAAAAAUAAUAAUAAUGGAUGAAGUUCUGUUACACUAUGCCUAUAUAUAACUAAAUAUUUUGCUAUAUUUAAAAAAAUGUAUGUUUUUUUAAUAUAAUAUUUUAGGCAAUAUUAUGAAAUUGAUAUGAGCCAGACAGAGGCAUUAAUAUUAUGAUGCAGCCCACUAUAAUAAUAAUAAUAAUAAAAUGAACUGUCCUAAAAGCCACACCUAAACACUACGUGUAUUGUAGUUUAUAAAUAUGGAAAGUAAUAGCAUUUAAGAGGUAAAAAAAAUUGUUUUGAUGAUACAAAAUAAGUUUUUCCGAUUAAGUGUUUACAUAAAAACAGAAAUAUUUUAUUUUCUAGUAAAAUAAACUGCGUGUUUUCUGUUGUUUAAAUCUGUAUGGUUUCACGAAAUAAUUAUGCACAAAAAUGUCACUAAAAACGAAUAAACAUGAGUCUUUUUA
Molecule: RNA transcript, 1632 nt
Organism: Labeo rohita (rohu)
Lineage: Eukaryota; Metazoa; Chordata; Actinopteri; Cypriniformes; Cyprinidae
Gene: copz2
Gene name: COPI coat complex subunit zeta 2
Exons: 10
Source: RefSeq, a predicted model, not a curated record